This 227-nucleotide long non-coding RNA is filed under the name Lathyrus oleraceus (garden pea). RNAcentral's name for it is "Pisum sativum (pea) long non-coding RNA (PSAT_LNC024845)". The record is from RNAcentral. Lineage: Eukaryota; Viridiplantae; Streptophyta; Magnoliopsida; Fabales; Fabaceae.
ACGAAUAUACAAACUGUGCAAUAUCCCUUUUUAAAACAUUCUCUUAAGGUCUUGGUACAUUUCAAUAGCCCGAGGAUGAAUGCUCAAACCUCUUUGGUGACUCUCCUACAAAAUAGUCUUCUUAAGUUUCGUCGCAUCAAUUAUGCAUACUUUAUCCCGAAAUUUAAGGAUCCCAUUCUUAUCGAAUAUAAAAUCUUAGUAUUCAUUAGCUGAUGACAAACAAUCAA